CCUCCCUGACCUACCUGGGCCAGAAGCUCUGCCUCGUCGUCUACCCCCACAGCGAGCCCCAGCCCCAUAGCGCGCCCCAUAGCGAGCCCCAUAGCGAGCCCCAUAGCGACCCCCAGCCCCACAGCGACCCCCGGCCCCAUAGCGAGCCCCACGGCGACCCCAAAAGCCCCGGGGAGGAGCAGAAGCCGCUCACCGCCCAGCCCCACAACUGAGCGCUAUGGGGCUGCCCCAUAGCGGUGGGGGGCUGCCCCACACAUUGACCCCAUAGGGCUGCCCCACACAUCCCUAUGGGGCUGCCCCACAUCUUCCUAUAGGGCUGCCCCACACCUCGGCCCUAUGGGGCUGCCCCACAUCUUGACCUCAUGGGGCUGCCCCACACAUUCUAUGGGGCUGCCCCACAAGUGUGCCUUCAGGGGCUGCCCCAUAUCUGAGCCCUAUGGGGCUGCCCCACACAUAUCCCCAUAGGGCUGCCCCGCACCUCCUCACUAUGGGGCUGCCCCACAUAUCCCUAUGGGGUGCCCCACAUCUGAGCCCUAUGGGGCCGCCCCCCAAGUGUGCCUUAAGGGGCUGCCCCACACAUUCUAUGGGGCUGCCCCACAUCUCGACCCCAUAGGGCUGCCCCACAUCUUGUUCCUAUGGGGCUGCCCCACACCUCCUCGCUAUGGGGCAGCCCCACAAGUGUGCCUUCAGGGGCUGCCCCACACCACUAUAGGGUGCCCCACACAUUCUAUGGGGCUGCCCCACACAUUCUAUGGGGCCGCCCCACACCUUCCUAUGGGGCUGCCCCACACCUUGGCCUUAAGGCGCUGCCCCACAGAUUCUAUGGGGCUGCCCCACAUCUCCCUAUGGGGCUGCCCCACACAUUCUAUGGGGCCACCCCACACAUCCUAUAGGGCUGCCCCACACCUCCCUAUGGGGCUGCCCCACAGAUUCUAUGGGGCAGCCCCCCCACACUCCGCCCCGUGCCUUCCCCCCCCAGUGGGGCCCCAAAUAAAUAAAUAAAUAAAUAAAGAGACUUCCCGGAGGGGUUGAUGACGUCA
RNAcentral lists this long non-coding RNA (1040 nucleotides) under Anas platyrhynchos platyrhynchos (common mallard). Its description in RNAcentral is "lncRNA (ENSAPLG00000024433.1)". The record is from RNAcentral. Lineage: Eukaryota; Metazoa; Chordata; Aves; Anseriformes; Anatidae.